GUGCUUGCUUUAGCAGCACAGACUUAAAUUGGAAUGAUACAAAGAUUAGCAUGGCACCUGCUCAAGGAUAACAUGCAAAUUUGUGAAGCAUUCCACAUUUAA
Molecule: small nuclear RNA, 102 nt
Organism: Sorex araneus (European shrew)
Lineage: Eukaryota; Metazoa; Chordata; Mammalia; Eulipotyphla; Soricidae
Source: Ensembl